Molecule: long non-coding RNA, 398 nt
Organism: Drosophila erecta
Lineage: Eukaryota; Metazoa; Arthropoda; Insecta; Diptera; Drosophilidae
Exons: 2
Source: RefSeq, a predicted model, not a curated record
AUGUUAAGGUUUUCAGAAUUUUUCAACAGUACCAUAAAAUGGAAUCGAAUUCUUAUAUUCAAAAAACGGCCACACAAAUACAAUGACCACUAAGAUUUCCAUUUGUGUGCGUGGUCUUCCUGGCACUUUAAUGUUUGGAUAACAGUGAACCACAAGAACGAGCACAUUUAUAGGCGUUGUAAAAUUGUGAAAACUGCAGAGUUCUUAGUGUAGCUCUCACUGUGGUCUUCAUCCACAGUACCUAUCUCCUCCAUGUCUCCGCGGAAGUCGUGGUUUGGAAUGUUGUACAUGGCGGCCAUGUGAAGUGUACGAGGUUGCCUGCCACAUCCUCACUAGAAAACACGUUUAGUUUUCUUUCAAGCGUGUUCGCAAGCAAUAAAACGUCAGUAUAUGUCCCA